This 74-nucleotide transfer RNA is filed under the name Atrichum angustatum. RNAcentral's name for it is "tRNA-Trp". It matches the Rfam family "tRNA". Rfam says of the family: Transfer RNA (tRNA) molecules are approximately 80 nucleotides in length. Their secondary structure includes four short double-helical elements and three loops (D, anti-codon, and T loops). Lineage: Eukaryota; Viridiplantae; Streptophyta; Polytrichopsida; Polytrichales; Polytrichaceae. The record is from RNAcentral.
GCGCUUUUAGUUCAGCUCGGUAGAACGCAGGUCUCCAAAACCUGAUGUCGUAGGUUCAAAUCCUACAGGGCGUG